Molecule: ribosomal RNA, 496 nt
Filed under: uncultured bacterium
Lineage: Bacteria
Description: partial 16S ribosomal RNA
Rfam family: Bacterial small subunit ribosomal RNA
Source: RNAcentral
AUGAACGCUGGCGGCGUGCCUAAUACAUGCAAGUCGCGCGAACGGACGAGAAGCUUGCUUCUCUGAUGUUAGCGGCGGACGGGUGAGUAACACGUGGAUAACCUACCUAUAAGACUGGGAUAACUUCGGGAAACCGGAGCUAAUACCGGAUAAUAUUUUGAACCGCAUGGUUCAAAAGUGAAAGACGGUCUUGCUGUCACUUAUAGAUGGAUCCGCGCUGCAUUAGCUAGUUGGUAAGGUAACGGCUUACCAAGGCAACGAUGCAUAGCCGACCUGAGAGGGUGAUCGGCCACACUGGAACUGAGACACGGUCCAGACUCCUACGGGAGGCAGCAGUAGGGAAUCUUCCGCAAUGGGCGAAAGCCUGACGGAGCAACGCCGCGUGAGUGAUGAAGGUCUUCGGAUCGUAAAACUCUGUUAUUAGGGAAGAACAUAUGUGUAAGUAACUGUGCACAUCUUGACGAUACCUAAUCAGAAAGCCACGGCUAACUACGUG